UCAUGUAACCAUAAUUUAUUAUCUCUAUUCAGUAUUCACCAGCCUGUAGUCUCUGCUCUGCUCAGAGAGAAGCAUGAAGCUAACAGUGUCCUUCAUCUACAACUAAUGAGAAGAUAUCAGUAGGGGCAUUCGUGCAGUCAUCAACCCUAUGAUUGUUGAAUCUACCAGUCGAAGAACCUAGCGGAUGAUCUAGGUACAGAACAAUGACGGUAAUAUCAUCGUG
This 223-nucleotide unclassified non-coding RNA is filed under the name Hevea brasiliensis (rubber tree). The record is from RNAcentral. Lineage: Eukaryota; Viridiplantae; Streptophyta; Magnoliopsida; Malpighiales; Euphorbiaceae.